CACAGAACUGCACUUGGGGACAAACACUAUUACGCCACCAGGCACACCCCAUCAUAACAUCCACACUUCGAAUGUGGGCACAUGUGAGGAACCACUAACAUAUAUCCCCAUACCCAUCACCCCUUUAUCCACUCACCCAAAACCCGCUAUUCUCACCAGGAGAACACGAUAAAUCAAAUAAACUUUACCAUGACUCCCCCUACCUGACAUUGGGAACCUUGGUAGAUGGGUCUAGAGUAAAACCACUUCAAACUUUAAUCUCAGUAGAUAAUGCCUCAGCACUACAAAAAUUCCAGUAUAAUCAACUCCUACAUUUUAUUAAAACGGGGUCGCUGGCACAGGGCACACACCGAGACCACACAAUCUUUGAACAACACUGUGAAACACAAACCAUAAAAAAGAAACUUAUUUC
Non-coding RNA from Pelobates cultripes (western spadefoot toad), 412 nucleotides. The record is from the annotation of a GenBank genome assembly. Lineage: Eukaryota; Metazoa; Chordata; Amphibia; Anura; Pelobatidae.